CAAAGCAGUAAUGGAACAAACAAACUCGUAAGUGCAGGCGCUUUGCUGGUGCCCUGGUGGAAUCAUGAGGUAGACAGGCACAACAAACUGGGAAAUCUCAGCUGGAGGCCCCAUAUGGUAUCUGAGGACUUUCUGAGCCUUUCAUUUUGUGGAAAGGAGGGAAUAUGUUUGUGCAUUCCGAAAGAGUUACCUAAUGGUCACAACGACGUUAGGUCACAUGCAGAGGAGGGGAAUAAAUGGCUAGGAAUGGGGUUAAAGAUAUCCUCAGAGAACUUGGCUCUGCAGUACUCCAUCCUCUCCUCAAUCAGAUAAUCAGUUUUAUAAAAACUUCUGCACAGUUCAGUACUUUGCAGGGACUUCCAUGCCUACAAACGAAACCUGGUGGUUAUCUACAAUGCUACCACAUCCCCUCAGAGAGACAACCAAGCCCUGUAGUAAACCUGCUUUAGGUACCCUAGAACAGUUACGUCUUCUCUGCUUAGGCAAUGAGUGUGUUCAUUUGGCAUGGAGAAGGAGCCAUUAUGAUGGGCACCCUUGUGUGAUUAAAUACUUCCAGUGGGUCUCUAUUGAAGAAAAAAAGAAAAAAA
RNAcentral lists this long non-coding RNA (587 nucleotides) under Rattus norvegicus (Norway rat). RNAcentral describes it as "long non-coding RNA NONRATT024229". The record is from RNAcentral. Lineage: Eukaryota; Metazoa; Chordata; Mammalia; Rodentia; Muridae.